AUAGGGGAGCCGGAGGGAAACCGAGUCUUAAUUGGGCGUUAAGUUGCAGGGUAUAGACCCGAAACCCGGUGAUCUAGCCAUGGGCAGGUUGAAGGUUGGGUAACACUAACUGGAGGACCGAACCGACUAAUGUUGAAAAAUUAGCGGAUGACCUGUGGCUGGGGGUGAAAGGCCAAUCAAACCGGGAGAUAGCUGGUUCUCCCCGAAAGCUAUUUAGGUAGCGCCUCGUGAAUUCAUCUCCGGGGGUAGAGCACUGUUUCGGCUAGGGGGCCAUCCCGGCUUACCAACCCGAUGCAAACUGCGAAUACCGGAGAAUGUUAUCACGGGAGACACACGGCGGGUGCUAACGUCCGUCGUGAAGAGGGAAACAACCCAGACCGCCAGCUAAGGUCCCAAAGUCAUGGUUAAGUGGGAAACGAUGUGGGAAGGCCCAGACAGCCAGGAUGUUGGCUUAGAAGCAGCCAUCAUUUAAAGAAAGCGUAAUAGCUCACUGGUCGAGUCGGCCUGCGCGGAAGAUGUAACGGGGCUAAACCAUGCACCGAAGCUGCGGCAGCGAACGUAUCACCCAAGACAACUUUACGGAGUUGACGAUUGACGGAGCGAAGCGACGUCAAAGCGUUCAUUAAAGUCGAGUUGGCUUAGGGAUACGUUCGUUGGGUAGGGGAGCGUUCUGUAAGCCUGUGAAGGUGGCCUGUGAGGGUUGCUGGAGGUAUCAGAAGUGCGAAUGCUGACAUAAGUAACGAUAAAGCGGGUGAAAAGCCCGCUCGCCGGAAGACCAAGGGUUCCUGUCCAACGUUAAUCGGGGCAGGGUGAGUCGACCCCUAAGGCGAGGCCGAAAGGCGUAGUCGAUGGGAAACGGGUUAAUAUUCCCGUACUUGGUGUUACUGCGAAGGGGGGACGGAGAAGGCUAUGUUGGCCGGGCGACGGUUGUCCCGGUUUAAGCGUGUAGGUGUGUGUUCCAGGUAAAUCCGGUU
RNAcentral lists this ribosomal RNA (974 nucleotides) under Salmonella enterica subsp. enterica serovar Mishmarhaemek. RNAcentral's name for it is "partial 23S ribosomal RNA". It matches the Rfam family "Bacterial large subunit ribosomal RNA", at positions 657 to 1547 of the family's 2925-position model. Lineage: Bacteria; Pseudomonadati; Pseudomonadota; Gammaproteobacteria; Enterobacterales; Enterobacteriaceae. The record is from RNAcentral.